UGCAGUCGAACGGCAGCAUAGGAGCUUGCUCCUGAUGGCGAGUGGCGAACGGGUGAGUAAUAUAUCGGAACGUGCCCUAGAGUGGGGGAUAACUAGUCGAAAGAUUAGCUAAUACCGCAUACGAUCUACGGAUGAAAGUGGGGGAUCGCAAGACCUCAUGCUCCUGGAGCGGCCGAUAUCUGAUUAGCUAGUUGGUGAGGUAAAAGCUCACCAAGGCGACGAUCAGUAGCUGGUCUGAGAGGACGACCAGCCACACUGGGACUGAGACACGGCCCAGACUCCUACGGGAGGCAGCAGUGGGGAAUUUUGGACAAUGGGGGCAACCCUGAUCCAGCAAUGCCGCGUGAGUGAAGAAGGCCUUCGGGUUGUAAAGCUCUUUUGUCAGGGAAGAAACGGUUUUGGCUAAUAUCCAGAACUAAUGACGGUACCUGAAGAAUAAGCACCGGCUAACUACGUGCCAGCAGCCGCGGUAAUACGUAGGGUGCAAGCGUUAAUCGGAAUUACUGGGCGUAAAGCGUGCGCAGGCGGUUGUGUAAGACAGAUGUGAAAUCCCCGGGCUCAACCUGGGAAUUGCAUUUGUGACUGCACGGCUAGAGUGUGUCAGAGGGGGGUAGAAUUCCACGUGUAGCAGUGAAAUGCGUAGAUAUGUGGAGGAAUACCGAUGGCGAAGGCAGCCCCCUGGGAUAACACUGACGCUCAUGCACGAAAGCGUGGGGAGCAAACAGGAU
Molecule: ribosomal RNA, 728 nt
Filed under: Herbaspirillum sp. YIM127
Lineage: Bacteria; Pseudomonadati; Pseudomonadota; Betaproteobacteria; Burkholderiales; Oxalobacteraceae
Description: bacterial SSU rRNA
Rfam family: Bacterial small subunit ribosomal RNA
Source: RNAcentral